GACGAACGCUGGCGGCGUGCUUAACACAUGCAAGUCGAACGGAAAGGCCCUGCUUUUGUGGGGUGCUCGAGUGGCGAACGGGUGAGUAACACGUGAGUAACCUGCCCUUGACUUUGGGAUAACUUCAGGAAACUGGGGCUAAUACCGGAUAGGAGCUCCUGCUGCAUGGUGGGGGUUGGAAAGUUUCGGCGGUUGGGGAUGGACUCGCGGCUUAUCAGCUUGUUGGUGGGGUAGUGGCUUACCAAGGCUUUGACGGGUAGCCGGCCUGAGAGGGUGACCGGCCACAUUGGGACUGAGAUACGGCCCAGACUCCUACGGGAGGCAGCAGUGGGGAAUAUUGCACAAUGGGCGGAAGCCUGAUGCAGCAACGCCGCGUGCGGGAUGACGGCCUUCGGGUUGUAAACCGCUUUCGCCUGUGACGAAGCGUGAGUGACGGUAAUGGGUAAAGAAGCACCGGCAAACUACGUG
This 468-nucleotide ribosomal RNA is filed under the name uncultured bacterium. RNAcentral's name for it is "partial 16S ribosomal RNA". It matches the Rfam family "Bacterial small subunit ribosomal RNA", at positions 28 to 507 of the family's 1533-position model. The record is from RNAcentral.